This 253-nucleotide ribosomal RNA is filed under the name uncultured bacterium. Its description in RNAcentral is "partial 16S ribosomal RNA". It matches the Rfam family "Bacterial small subunit ribosomal RNA", at positions 524 to 776 of the family's 1533-position model. The record is from RNAcentral.
UACAGAGGUCCCAAGCGUUGUUCGGAUUCAUUGGGCGUAAAGGGUGCGUAGGUGGCGUCGUAAGUCGGGUGUGAAAUCUCGGGGCUUAACUCCGAAACUGCAUUCGAUACUGCGGUGCUUGAGGACUGGAGAGGAGACUGGAAUUUACGGUGUAGCAGUGAAAUGCGUAGAGAUCGUAAGGAAGACCAGUGGCGAAGGCGGGUCUCUGGACAGUUCCUGACACUGAGGCACGAAGGCCAGGGGAGCGAACGGG